RNAcentral lists this long non-coding RNA (305 nucleotides) under Mytilus galloprovincialis (Mediterranean mussel). Lineage: Eukaryota; Metazoa; Mollusca; Bivalvia; Mytilida; Mytilidae. The record is from RNAcentral.
CGGGUACAUGAGCGCUAAUAGGGUAAUUUCAUCUCUAAGAACACAUUGUUACCACCUGAGACAUGGACAUAAUUGAAAAUCCUUUUCUAACAGGUGAAACGUAUAAAAAAAUGUAUUAUAAGCGAAUAGGUAACGAAUAGGUAACGAAUGGAUAACAGGGUAUUAACCGAGCGCUGGAACGGGUACAUGCGCGCUAAUAGGGUCAUUUCAUCUCUAAGAACACAUUCUUACCACCAGAGACCUGAACACAAUUAAAAAACGAUUUAUUUCAAGGUGCACCGUAUACCCCGCGCAUUAAAAGCGAA